AUGAACGCUGGCGGCGUGCUUAACCCCUGCAAGUCGCACGGUGAAGGCGGAGCUUGCUCUGCUGGAUCAGUGGCGAACGGGUGAGUAACACGUGAGCAAUCUGCCCCUGACUCUGGGAUAAGCGCUGGAAACGGCGUCUAAUACUGGAUACGAGCUGCGAAGGCAUCUUCAGCAGCUGGAAAGAAUUUCGGUCAGGGAUGAGCUCGCGGCCUAUCAGCUUGUUGGUGAGGUAAUGGCUCACCAAGGCGUCGACGGGUAGCCGGCCUGAGAGGGUGACCGGCCACACUGGGACUGAGACACGGCCCAGUCUCCUACGGGAGGCAGCAGUGGGGAAUAUUGCACAAUGGGCGAAAGCCUGAUGCAGCAACGCCGCGUGAGGGACGACGGCCUUCGGGUUGUAAACCUCUUUUAGCAGGGAAGAAGCGAAAGUGACGGUACCUGCAGAAAAAGCGCCGGCUAACUACGUG
Molecule: ribosomal RNA, 467 nt
Filed under: uncultured bacterium
Lineage: Bacteria
Description: partial 16S ribosomal RNA
Rfam family: Bacterial small subunit ribosomal RNA
Source: RNAcentral